GAUGAACGCUGGCGGCGUGCCUAAUACAUGCAAGUCGAGCGAACAGACGAGGAGCCUGCUCCUUUGACGUUAGCGGCGGACGGGUGAGUAACACGUAGGUAACCUACCUAUAAGACUGGGAUAACUUCGGGAAACCGGAGCUAAUACCGGAUAAUAUUUCGAACCGCAUGGUUCAAUAGUGAAAGAUGGCUUUGCUAUCACUUAUAGAUGGACCUGCGCCGGAUUAGCUAGUUGGUAAGGUAACGGCUUACCAAGGCAACGAUACGUAGCCGACCUGAGAGGGGGGACGGGCAACAGUGAACUGGGGCAAGGGUCAAGCUCCUAAGGGGGGGAGGAGGAGGGAAUCCUCCGGAAAUGGGGGAAGGCUUGAGGGGGAAAGGCGGGGGGGGUAAGGAAGGUCUCGGGUUGGAAAACCCUUGUAAUAGGGGAGAACAAAAGGUGAAAGAAACUGGGACGUCUUGGCGGGAACCAAACAGAAAAGCAGCGGUAACUUCGGG
RNAcentral lists this ribosomal RNA (497 nucleotides) under uncultured bacterium. Its description in RNAcentral is "partial 16S ribosomal RNA". It matches the Rfam family "Bacterial small subunit ribosomal RNA", at positions 28 to 507 of the family's 1533-position model. The record is from RNAcentral.